UGUACUCUCACACUUCUGAUCCUUUUGGAUUGGGAGCGGUGGACUUGGGUGUUGCUGCUUUACUGCGGCUCACCUCAAAUGCAUUAGUGCAACUCUUGGUUGGACAUAGUACGGCGUGAUAAGUAUCUUCGCCGGCACCUCGCAAGAGGGUGGCUGAUCAGGAGCUCUGUGCUCUCCAACUGUCUUCGGACAACAACUGACA
RNAcentral lists this unclassified non-coding RNA (202 nucleotides) under uncultured Sebacina. RNAcentral's name for it is "sequence contains ITS2". The record is from RNAcentral. Lineage: Eukaryota; Fungi; Basidiomycota; Agaricomycetes; Sebacinales; Sebacinaceae.